GAGUCUUCAGUUGCAUGUGCCGGUGGAUCAACCCAUGUAGACACACAUUCUGCAGCUUCUGGGUUAAUAGAGGAGUCUGCUGUGCCCUCUAAGAUUUUUCCACAGGGUGGUGAAGAGAAAUGAGCCAAUAGAUGGGCACAAACUGUACGGACAUUUAUAUCACCGUCACCUGGUUACACUCUUUCCUUCAAAUGUUGAUUUAUUCCUUGCAAAGCUUCUCAUCUUCCUUGUGGGUGUCAUCCUCCCCCACUGACCUAUAAAUAAAAGAGUUUCUUUACUUCUAUUCCCAUCUUAUCAAUGAAAGGGAAAGAAACUGUGGUGGAGCCAACUUUCAGCCAUGAGGACAUUCCCCCUUCUGUGUUUUGGUUUCUUUUUCAUACUGCUGAGUUUCUCAGGAUUCAUUAAUGCUUGGCAUGGAAGAUGUCGGGGCAGAUGCGCUCCCAGGUGUUCCGAUGAUGAAUAUGUGGCUUCAAAAGAACUCUGCCAUGCUCAUAACCAUGUAUACUGUUGUGCAAAUCCAGAAUCCCACAAGGCAAUCUGUCGGGGCAGCUGCAAGCAAUUUUGUGCAGGCAAUGAAUAUGUGGCUUCAAGAGAUUACUGCCAUCACCCUGACUAUGUCUACUGUUGUGUGGAUAAAGGCAAACGCUACUGGCCAGAUCUUGACAGAGAUGGACGUUAUUAAAUGGCAUCAACCCCUUCCUAAAAUAUGGGUUCCUUCUUCAGUGCCAAUCUGAUGGAUGUAAUUUUUUAUUUUGAAGAAGCUUUUUAGCUGCUCAAAUGACAUCUGGAAAGGAAACCUCCAAUUCGAAUAAUUGUUAAAUUCAACAGCUAAUAAAACCAAAGUUGUUGCACU
Molecule: long non-coding RNA, 853 nt
Organism: Hemicordylus capensis (graceful crag lizard)
Lineage: Eukaryota; Metazoa; Chordata; Lepidosauria; Squamata; Cordylidae
Exons: 5
Source: RefSeq, a predicted model, not a curated record